AUAACAUUAAAGUAAUAUUUUGAUAAUACUAUAUAAUCUUAUAAUACUGCAUUAUAUAUUAAAUUGUAAUGAUUAAAAAAUAUUUUGUGUUAUAAAUUUUAUUUUAUAUAAAAAUUUUAUAGGUUUCUGUACAAUUUUUCACAACAAAAAUUAGUUAUGUAAGUACAGUUCCAGCUCAGUGUUAUGCCAUUGAGCCAAUUUAGUUGUGCUAAGUUGACCUAGAGUGACUUUGAAAAUUAUAAAAAUUUCACUAUAGUUGAUCACUCAAGUAAUGGUAUAGUCUGGAGAGGCUGCAUCCUUCAGAGUCGUAGACAAUCCUGGCAUCACUUUAUUAGUCUCUUAACUUCUGGCCAAGAUGGCAAAGUUGAACUAUCAACAGCCUAAAAAGAUCAUUAGAACAUGCAAUCCUCCUUGUCACAUAAAGUUGUGGCCCAAAGGGAAUGCCAAUAAUAUAAAAAAUAAAAUUGUGAUAAAAGUAAAAUUCAGUCUUGUAGGAUUAAUACUCAAAUUCAGUCUUAUAGGAUGUAGUAUGGUGUCAAUUGUUCAGAAUAGAUGUGUGAAUAUAUUCCCAUUUUUAAAAUUUGUUAUUUUUAAUUCCAAUCAUAGAUAUGCUUGGCAUGAAGGAUAAAAGGAUUUC
Molecule: long non-coding RNA, 637 nt
Filed under: Androctonus crassicauda
Lineage: Eukaryota; Metazoa; Arthropoda; Arachnida; Scorpiones; Buthidae
Source: RNAcentral